GAAUAUUAGUCAAUGCUCGAAAGAGUGAACUAGCUAACUGAAAUCAAUUAUAAUAAUUGAUAACAUAAGGGAAAAUAAUGAUAUUACCUUAUUAUUAGUGUCGUCCAAAACUGGUGCCAGAAGACUCGGUAAGGCCAGAGACACAAACGUUAAUCGUCUUAAUCAGGCGUAAAGGGUUUGUAGGCAGCUUUAAAAUUAGAUUAUUAAAUUAAAUAAAUAAAAAUUAUUAAUUAAUAAUUAAAGACAAAAAGCUAGAAUCAAAAAGAGGAUAUAUUAAAGAAUGCUUAGAGUAGGUCUGAUAUCCUUAGAUACUAAGUAGAAUAUUAAAGGCGAAAGCUUUUUUCCAUUAAUGAUUGACGCUCAGAAACGAAGGUGAGGAUAGGAAAUAGGAUUAGAUACCCAAAAUACCCCUCUCUGUCAACGAUGAAUGGUAAUUAUUAGUAAAAAUUUUAUUAAUGAUAAUGUUAACACGAUAACCAUUCCGCCUUGUGAGUACAACUGCAAAGUUGAAAACAAAAAAAUUAGUCGGUUUCGGAGCAAACGAAGUGAAGCAUGUUAUUUAAUU
RNAcentral lists this ribosomal RNA (565 nucleotides) under Russula exalbicans. Its description in RNAcentral is "mitochondrial SSU rRNA". It matches the Rfam family "Bacterial small subunit ribosomal RNA", at positions 359 to 951 of the family's 1533-position model. Lineage: Eukaryota; Fungi; Basidiomycota; Agaricomycetes; Russulales; Russulaceae. The record is from RNAcentral.